This 493-nucleotide ribosomal RNA is filed under the name uncultured bacterium. RNAcentral describes it as "partial 16S ribosomal RNA". It matches the Rfam family "Bacterial small subunit ribosomal RNA", at positions 28 to 506 of the family's 1533-position model. The record is from RNAcentral.
GACGAACGCUGGCGGCGUGCUUAACACAUGCAAGUCGAACGGAAAGGCCUGCUUUCCCUUGUGGAUUGCGGGUACUCGAGUGGCUAACGGGUGAGUAACACGUGAGUGAUCUGCCCCCACCUUGGGUAUAAGCCUGGGAUACUGGGUCUAAUUCCCGAUAGGACUGCAGGGUUGUGCCUGUGUUGGAAUACGAUUUUCUAGUGGUUGGGGGUGGGCACGCGGCCUAUCAGCUGGUUGGUGGGGUAAUGGCCUACCACGGCGGCGACGGGUAGCCGGGCAGGGAGAGUGGACGGCGACAUUAGGAAUGGGAUACGGCCCAGACUCAGGCGGGAGGCAGCAGUGGGGAAUAUUGCGCGAUGGGCGGAAGCCUGAUGGAGGGACGCCGCGUGGGGGAGGACGGCCUGCGGGUUGUAAACUGCUUGCGGCCGCGAGGAAGCCACAUGGUUGGAAGGGUGGUGACGGUAGUGGUAGAAGAAGCACCGGCAAACUAGGG